Molecule: ribosomal RNA, 253 nt
Filed under: uncultured bacterium
Lineage: Bacteria
Description: partial 16S ribosomal RNA
Rfam family: Bacterial small subunit ribosomal RNA
Source: RNAcentral
UACGAAGGGUGCUAGCGUUGUUCGGAAUCAUUGGGCGUAAAGCGUGCGUAGGCGGCUUAAUAAGUCAGUUGUGAAAGCCCAAGGCUCAACCUUGGAAUUGCAGUUGAAACUGUUAGGCUAGAGUAUGAAAAGGGAUAGUGGAAUUCUUAGUGUAGGGGUGAAAUCCGUAGAUAUUAAGAGGAACACCAGUGGCGAAAGCGACUAUCUAUGUCAUUACUGACGCUGUUGCACGAAAGCGUGGGGAGCAAACAGG